GGUAGAGUGGCCGAGCAGGUGGCGGAUUGUAGCUCCGAAGACAGAGGUUUGACACCUCUCUUUACCA
Molecule: transfer RNA, 67 nt
Filed under: Hyperolius ocellatus (golden-eyed reed frog)
Lineage: Eukaryota; Metazoa; Chordata; Amphibia; Anura; Hyperoliidae
Description: tRNA-Tyr
Rfam family: tRNA
About the family: Transfer RNA (tRNA) molecules are approximately 80 nucleotides in length.
Source: RNAcentral